Molecule: ribosomal RNA, 860 nt
Filed under: uncultured Planctomycetota bacterium
Lineage: Bacteria; Pseudomonadati; Planctomycetota
Description: bacterial SSU rRNA
Rfam family: Bacterial small subunit ribosomal RNA
Source: RNAcentral
AGAGUUUGAUCCUGGCUCAGAAUGAACGUUGGCGGCGUGGAUUAGGCAUGCAAGUCGUGCGAGAAACUUUUUUUGCUUGCAUUAGAAGUGGACAGCGGCGCAAGGGAGAGUAACGCGUAGAUACCUACCCCCAGAUCCGGGAUAGCGGCGGGAAACUGCCGGUAAUACCGGAUAAUGUCCCCGGACCAAAGGUGUGAUUCCGUCUAGGGAUGGGUCUGCGUCCUAUUAGCUUGUUGGUGAGGUAAUGGCUCACCAAGGCCGAGAUGGGUAGCGGGUGUGAGAGCAUGGCCCGCCUCACUGGGACUGAGACACUGCCCAGACACCUACGGGUGGCUGCAGUCGAGAAUCUUCCGCAAUGGGCGAAAGCCUGACGGAGCGACGCCGCGUGCGGGAUGAAGGCCUUCGGGUUGUAAACCGCUGUCAGAGGGGAACAAAUCCAUGAGGGCUAUCCCUGAUGGUUGAGUGAUCCUCAGAGGAAGCGCAGGCUAAGUUCGUGCCAGCAGCCGCGGUAACACGAACUGCGCGAACGUUAUUCGGAUUUACUGGGCUUAAAGAGUUCGUAGGCGGCUUUGCAGGUGGGGUGUGAAAUCCCCCGGCUCAACCGGGGAACUGCGCUCCAAACCGCAGGGCUUGAGGGAGAUAGAGGUGAGCGGAACUCACGGUGGAGCGGUGAAAUGCGUUGAUAUCGUGAGGAACACCGGUGGCGAAAGCGGCUCACUGGGUCUCUUCUGACGCUGAGGAACGAAAGCUAGGGGAGCGAACGGGAUUAGAUACCCCGGUAGUCCUAGCUGUAAACGAUGAGCACUAGAUCAAGGGGACUUCCACAUCUUCUUGGUCGUAGCGAAAGUGUUAAGUGCUCC